This 109-nucleotide ribosomal RNA is filed under the name Octodon degus (degu). Lineage: Eukaryota; Metazoa; Chordata; Mammalia; Rodentia; Octodontidae. The record is from RNAcentral.
GUCUACGGCCAUACCACCCUGAAUGUGCCCAAUCUGAUCUGAUCUUGGAAGCUAAGCAGGGUUGGGUGUUUUUAGUACUUGGAUGCAAGAAAUGGUUACCCCAGAGAGU